This 258-nucleotide ribosomal RNA is filed under the name uncultured bacterium. Its description in RNAcentral is "partial 16S ribosomal RNA". It matches the Rfam family "Bacterial small subunit ribosomal RNA", at positions 57 to 305 of the family's 1533-position model. The record is from RNAcentral.
GCAAGUCGAGGGGUAGCAGGAUUAAGCUUGCUUAAUUGCUGACGACCGGCGCACGGGUGCGUAACGCGUAUGAAACCUACCUAUUACAGGGGUAUAGUCUAGAGAAAUUUGGAAUAAUCCCCCAUAACAUAAUAUAAAGGCAUCUUUAUAUUAUCAAAGGCUUCGAGCUGGUAAUAGAUGGUCAUGCGUCCUAUUAGCUAGAUGGUGAGGUAACGGCUCCCCAUGGCAACGAUAGGUAGGGGUCCUGAGAGGGAGGUC